AGGCUAGAACCCAUUAGAAGACUGUCUUCGUGAAGAUGGACGAGGCUAGAACCCAUUAGAAGACUGUCUUCGUGAAGAUGGACGAGGCUAGAACCCAUUAGAAGACUGUCUUCAUGGACGAGGCUAGAACCCAUUAGAAGACUGUCUUCAUGAAGAUGGACGAGGCUAGAACCCAUUAGAAGACUGUCUUCAUGAAGAUGGACGAGGCUAGAACCCAUUAGAAGACUGUCUUCAUGAAGAUGGACGAGGCCAGAACCCAUUAGAAGACUGUCUUCAUGGACGAGGCCAGAACCCAUUAGAAGACUGUCUUCAUGAAGAUGGACGAGGCCAGAACCCAUUAGAAGACUGUCUUCGUGAAGAUGGACGAGGCUAGAACCCAUUAGAAGACUGUCUUCGUGAAGAUGGACGAGGCCAGAACCCAUUAGAAGACUGUCUUCGUGAAGAUGGACGAGGCUAGAACCCAUUAGAAGACUGUCUUCAUGAAGAUGGACGAGGCCAGUAGCCCUGAAGGGACAAUAGAGAGGAACAAUCUGCUGCUGUUCACUCCAAUAGGAAAACAACAGUAGUUAAGAGGAGAAUUGUAAUCAGAUACGUUGUUCAUGUUUUUUACCUAAUAAUGAUGUCACUGGUUCAUUCUGAACUAUUAUAGGGCUGCUUUCUCAGACGACCCCUUGGUCCUGGACUAAACAUCACUUUCAAUGGAGAAUGUCCAUUCACCACUGCUCUCUAGCCCAGAACUAGGUUUAGGCCGAAUGAGGAAACCGGCCCGUUUUAUAAAGAUAUAUAUAUAUAAACCUGUUACGAAAGUUUUAAGCCUUGAUGGGACUCAGCAACUACAGUAGAGGGGUAAAAAAUGGUUCUCUACGCAAUUCAUUACAGUGCCUUUAUGUCAAUCUUUUUAAAUGUAUUGCCACAUUUUACAGAGGUCUUACAGUAAGUAAUCGUGUCUAGCUACACUAUAUAUACAAAAGUAUGUGGACACCCCUUCAAAUGAGUGGAUUCGUCUAUUUCAGACAUCUGUUGCCGACAGGUGUAUAAAAUUGAGCAUGCCUCCAUGCAAUCUCCAUAGACAAACACUGGUAGUAGAAUUGCCUUAGUGAAGAGCUCAUUGACGUUCAACGUGGCACCAUCGUAGGAUGCCACCUUUCCAACAAGUCAGUUUGUCAAAUUUCUGCCCUGCUAGAGCUGCCCCCCGGUCAACUGUAAGUUCUGUUAUUACAGAGCGGCUCAGCCGCUAAGUGGUAGGCCACAUAAGCUCACAGAACGGGACCACCCGAGUGCUGAAGCGCUUGGCACGUAACAAUCGUCUGACCUCGGUUGCAACACUCACUACCGAGUUUCAAACUGCCUCUGGAAGCAACGUCAGCACAAGAACUGUUCGUUGGGAGCUUCAUGAAAUGGGUUUCCAUGGCCGAGCAGCCGCACACAAGCCUAAGAUCACCAUGCGCAAAGCCAAGCGUCGGCUGGAGUGGUGUAAAGCUCACCACCAUUGGAUUCUGGAGUAGUGGAAACGCUUCACCAUCUGGCAGUCUGACGGAUGAAUCUGGGUUUGGCGAAUGCCAGGAGAACGCUACCUGCCUGAAUGCAUAGUGCCAACUGUAAAGUUUGGUGGAGGAAGAAUAAUGGUCUGGGGCUGUUUUCCAUGGUUCGGGUCCCUUAGUUCCAGUGAAGGGAAAUCUUAAUGCUACAGCAGACAAUGACAUUCAAGAUGAUUCUCUGCUUCCAACUUUGAGACAAAUGUUUUGGGGAAGGCCCUUUCCUGUUUCAGCAUGACAAUGCCCCCGUUCACAAAGCGAGGUCCAUACGGAAAUGGUUUGUCGAGAUCAGUGUAGAAGAACUUGACUGGCCUGCACAGAGCCCUGACCUCAACCCCAUCGAACACCUUUGGGAUGAAUUGGAACGCAGACUGCGAGCCAGGAGGCCUAAUCGCCCAACAUCAAUGCACUGACCUCACUAAUGCUCUUGUGACUGAAUGGAAGAAAGUCCCCUCAGCAAUGUUCCAACAUCUAGUGGAAAGCCUUCCCAGAAGAGAGGAGUCUGUUAUAGCAGCAAUGUUCCAACCUCUAGUGGAAAGCCUUCCCAGAAGAGUGGAGGCUGUUAUAGCAGCAAUGUUCCAACAUCUAGUGGAAAGCCUUCCCAGAAGAGAGGAGGCUGUUAUAGCAGCAAUGUUCCAACAUCUAGUGGAAAGCCUUCCUAGAAGAGAGGAGGCUGUUAUAGCAGCAAUGUUCCAACCUCUAGUGGAAAGCCUUCCUAGAAGAGAGGAGGCUGUUAUAGCAGCAAUGUUCCAACAUCUAGUGGAAAGCCUUCCUAGAAGAGUGGAGGCUGUUAUAGCAGCAAUGUUCCUACAUCUAGUGAAAGCCUUCCCAGAAGAGAGGAGGCUGUUAUAGCAGCAAAGGGGAGGACCAACUCCAUAUGUAAUACCCAUGUUUUUUGCAAUGAGAUGUUGGACGGGCAGGUGUCCACAUACUUUUGGUCAUGUAGUGUACAAACUACAAACACACGUUAUAGAAAUUCCACUCACAACACUAACACGUGUCCAAACCUGAUACUUUUUUUAAAAAUAAAUUUUUAUAAUUGUAGCCUCUCUUUAGUGUGGUAUCAAGUUCUUUCCCCAGAGUGUUUUAUUUUAUAUAAUGUUUUAUAAAUUACAUCUCUGAUUUUGACCUGAUGAUAUUGAAUACUGUUUUACUGGUUUGUUAGUUAUUUCGUUGCGGAUGGGCUUUGGUGGGUUGUUCUUGGAUUAUCUGUGGGUUCGAUAACUGAUCUACAAGUUGAUAACGAGUGUUUGACUUUUAGGGGAAAAGUAUUUAUAAAAUGUAUCCUGGAGCAGAAAACACAAUGCAGGACAGUGGGGGGAAAACAGACGUAUUUAAUUAAAUUGAAAGUUUCUAAUUACGAUUUGAAAAUGGAUAUCGAGAUAUACUGAAUAACUAAUUUUGAAAGAAAAAAUAGUUGUAUUGAUUUGUUGCCUAUAUAAAGUAUUAAUGAAUUAUAAAUGAUAUUGAUAUUUCAAUGUUUCACAUUUUGGAAUUGAUCUUUAGCCAAACCUAGUGUGAUUUGUAUUGGAAGGAAUUGAUCUUUAGCCAAACCUAGUGUGAUUUGUAUUGGAAGGAAUUGAUCUUUAG
Long non-coding RNA from Oncorhynchus tshawytscha (Chinook salmon), 3125 nucleotides. Lineage: Eukaryota; Metazoa; Chordata; Actinopteri; Salmoniformes; Salmonidae. The record is from Ensembl.